GAUGAACGCUGGCGGCGUGCUUAACACAUGCAAGUCGAGCGAGAAGUUUUGAAAAGAUUCUUCGGAUGAAAUUUAAAAUGGAAAGCGGCGGACGGGUGAGUAACGCGUAGGCAACCUGCCCCAUACAAAGGGAUAGCAUUUGGAAACGAAUAUUAAUACCUUAUGAAACUUAACUAGUGCAUGCUAGGUAGGUCAAAGAUUUAUCGGUAUGGGAUGGGCCUGCGUCUGAUUAGCUACUUGGUGAGGUAACGGCUCACCAAGGCGACGAUCAGUAGCCGACCUGAGAGGGUGAACGGCCACAUUGGAACUGAGACACGGUCCAAACUCCUACGGGAGGCAGCAGUGGGGAAUAUUGCACAAUGGGGGAAACCCUGAUGCAGCAACGCCGCGUGAACGAUGAAGGCCUUUGGGUCGUAAAGUUCUGUUCUAGGUGAUGAAAACUGACAGUAACCUAGGAGAAAGCCCCGGCUAACUCCGUG
This 479-nucleotide ribosomal RNA is filed under the name uncultured bacterium. RNAcentral's name for it is "partial 16S ribosomal RNA". It matches the Rfam family "Bacterial small subunit ribosomal RNA", at positions 28 to 507 of the family's 1533-position model. The record is from RNAcentral.